AUAAUCAAGUAAAUUGCAUAUAUAAGAUAUCUUCACCUUUUCGUGACUUCAUAGCUUGUGAGUUUGAAAGAUGAUGACUACUAGAUGCCAGUGAUGGAAAACCCUUGAUGAAAGGGCUUUGCUCACAGCCUUUUAUUAAGAAAAUAUAACUAAGGUUAUUAUAAAAAUGCUGAUUUGGGUAGCAUAGGUAAUGUUUUGUUUAAAUACUUAUCAAAAAUGCUACUUGUCCCUUAAACUUUUGCACAGGCAAGCUGCUGGAAUGCAGAUGGUGGAGGGCUUUUGGAGUAAGGAUUACGUAGGAUACAGUAGUUGUGGCUGUUUGGAGUCCAUAGUUUCCAUAGAUUCCAGUUCUGUGUCUGUGCCGGCGUUGCGUGCCUACAUUUCAUGCACUCUGCUUUCGGCAGUGGAGCAGUUAAAGAAGCCAGAAAAUUAGGAGUCUCUGGGCCCAUUAACAUCGCGAUCAUUUAGAUUAGCAAGGCAGUUUGGGAACUGUGUGGAGAGGACAGCUUCAACACCUGCGGGUGCUGGAGAGCAACAACCUGUUCUUUGUUCAACUGCUUGUUAACGAAGAGUCCGGUUCUGCUUGUGUGGACCCGAGAUGGAUGCUGCGCUCCUGCAAGGCGUGUGGGCAUCCUUGAACGCUCCUUGCAGGGCCAAGGUUUCCAUUCAGUCUGGAAGUCGGCAAGGAAACGAGCAGUUCUUUCAGAGAAGCAGCUUGCUGAAUUUCUGGUUAUUUGGCUCUUUCUCCCAAAUGAUCCUGAGCAGCAUAUGCAGUGUUUGCAUCCGGGACACAAGCAGGUCCUACAGGACUUCAGUUGCUCUGCUGAGGCACAUAACUGAUCUGAGCCUUUCGUCUGUUGGGAAAGAGGAGUAGAAGCUGCAGGAUUCUGGACGGUUCUCAUUGCUCACCAUGUUCCUCUUAUUCUGCAGCACAAGUGGGGGCUGUGGAGGUAAGGAACUGCUUAGUGCUGAAGUUGGGGGAUAUUAGUGCCAUAGAUGCAAUAUAUAGAUUUUUCAUUUGCGACUGUGGCACUGCCUAACGGCUGCCUCUGCUGAUAGCAUCUGAAGAUACAAAAAAGGAGCAGCAUCUCCAACACGCUGCAGAGUUGUACAAGCACGACCAUGCAGCUACCACUGACGGGUGUGUGGCAGAAGGACAGAAGAUGCUAAGAAGCUCCAAGUGCCUGUCCUGCAGUGAGAGCCCUGGCAAACACGCGUCUAGUGAGCCAGAGUACACCUAAUAUGUGUGGCAGCUUCAACGUUUACUGUUGUGUGCUCAGUUCUCUUUGAAAUGCUUUAUUAAAAAAAAUAAGUGAAUCUCCAAGGUUUGAGGCUGCAAAGAACAGGUUUAUGAAGGCAUUUCUUCUUCUAUUUCAACCGAGAGGGCAGAGGCUUGGGCGCUUUUUUGUUUGUUUGUAAUAUGGUUGGUCCCCUCCGGCUGAGUAAGGCACGUACAUACCUCUGCACUGCUAGAAAAAGAUACAGGCAUUUUCAAAAAUAUUUUUUCCAUUAUGUAUCGGUUCAUGUCUGCAGUUUUUCCUUAGCUGUUCCGAGUCUAUAUGCAAAGCGGAUAUUGUGAGGAAUUUGUUGGCAGAAUGCAAAUACUGUUAGUUCUGUUUAAAUCAAAAGAACACUUCUGCAGACUAUGCUUUUUAUCAAAAGGCAUAAACUGCAUUGUACGCAAAGAAUUCCAAAGCCCCAAAUUCUUAUCCCAGAAUAGGUUUAAAUGCAAGAUAGUCAGCAAGGGAUGCUUAGCAGAAACUGUAUUCCUCAAAGCUAAAAUUCUAUAUAAAAGGAAAACUUAAUCCUUG
Molecule: long non-coding RNA, 1811 nt
Filed under: Apteryx owenii (little spotted kiwi)
Lineage: Eukaryota; Metazoa; Chordata; Aves; Apterygiformes; Apterygidae
Description: lncRNA (ENSAOWG00000008478.1)
Source: RNAcentral